UGUUAUAUUAGCUUUUCUUGA
Molecule: non-coding RNA, 21 nt
Filed under: Caenorhabditis elegans
Lineage: Eukaryota; Metazoa; Nematoda; Chromadorea; Rhabditida; Rhabditidae
Source: RNAcentral